UACAGAGAGUGCGAACGUUGUUCGGAAUCACUGGGCAUAAAGCGCACGUAGGCGGCGCCAUAAGUGCGGGGUGAAAUCCCACGGCUUACCCGUGGAACUGCCUGGUAUACUGUGGUGCUUGAGGAUGGUAGGGGAGAGCGGAACUCCUGGUGGAGCGGUGAAAUGCGUAGAGAUCAGGAGGAACACCGGUGGCGAAGGCGGCUCUCUGGUCCAUUUCUGACGCUGAGGUGCGAAAGCUAGGGGAGCAAACGGG
Molecule: ribosomal RNA, 253 nt
Filed under: uncultured bacterium
Lineage: Bacteria
Description: partial 16S ribosomal RNA
Rfam family: Bacterial small subunit ribosomal RNA
Source: RNAcentral